AUUGAACGCUGGCGGCAGGCCUAACACAUGCAAGUCGAGCGAGCGGCGGACGGGUGCGAAAUGUCUGGGCAACUGACUGAUGGAGAGGGAUAACUACUGGAAACGCUAGCUAAUAACACAUACAAUCAGCGGUGCCCAGAUGGGCUUGUAUGGUAGUGUGGGUAACGUAUCACCUAGGCGACGAUCCCUAGCAGGUCUGCGAGGUUGACCAGGCAAACUGGAACGUAGAGGCGGCCAAGACUCCUACGGGAGGCAGCAGUGGGGAAUAGUGAACUAUGGGCGCAAGCCUGAUGCAGCCAUGCCGCGUGUGUGAAGAAGGCAUGCGGGUUUGAAAGCAGUUUCAUCUGGGCGGCGUUACCCGCAGAAGAAGCACCGGCUAACUCCGUGCCAGCAGCCGCGGUAAUUC
Molecule: ribosomal RNA, 406 nt
Filed under: uncultured bacterium
Lineage: Bacteria
Description: partial 16S ribosomal RNA
Rfam family: Bacterial small subunit ribosomal RNA
Source: RNAcentral